RNAcentral lists this ribosomal RNA (554 nucleotides) under uncultured eukaryote. RNAcentral describes it as "SSU rRNA". It matches the Rfam family "Eukaryotic small subunit ribosomal RNA", at positions 4 to 565 of the family's 1831-position model. The record is from RNAcentral.
CUGGUUGAUCCUGCCAGUAGUCAUAUGCUUGUCUCAAAGACUAAGCCAUGCAUGUCUAAGUAUAAGUGUUAUACAGCGAAACUGCGAAUGGCUCAUUAAAACAGUUAUAGUUUAUUUGGUAAUCGAAAUUACAUGGAUAACCGUGGUAUCUUCUAGAGCUAAUACAUGCAGGUUAGCCCGACUUCUCGGAAGGGCUGUAUUUAUUAGAUAACAGACCAAUAUUCCUCGUGUCUAUUGUGGUGACUCAUAGUAACUGAUCGGAUCGCAUGGACUUGUUCCGCGAUAAACCAUUCAAGUUUCUGACCCAUCAGCUUUCGAUGGUAGUGUAUUGGACUACCAUGGCUUUCACGGGUAACGGAGGAUUAGGGUUCGAUUCCGGAGAGGGAGCCUGAGAAACGGCUACCACAUCUAAGGAAGGCAGCAGGCGCGUAAAUUACCCAAUCCUGACUCAGGGAGGUAGUGACAAGAAAUAACGGGUCGGGGCAUUUGCCUCGGGAUUGCAAUGAAUCGAAUUUACACCCCUUAAUGAGGAUCAAUUGGAGGGCAAGUCUGGU